RNAcentral lists this non-coding RNA (23 nucleotides) under Arabidopsis thaliana (thale cress). The record is from RNAcentral. Lineage: Eukaryota; Viridiplantae; Streptophyta; Magnoliopsida; Brassicales; Brassicaceae.
CGCAGCGAUACUGACGUGCAAAU